UUCCGGUUGAUCCCGCCGGACCUGACUGCUAUCGGAUUGAUACUAAGCCAUGCGAGUCAUUGUAGCAAUACAAGGCAUACGGCUCAGUAACGCGUAGUCAACCUACCCUAUGGACGGGAAUAACCUCGGGAAACUGAGUAUAAUGCCCGAUAGAACAUUAUGCCUGGAAGGGUUUAUGUUCCAAAUGAUUUAUCGCCGUAGGAUGGGACUGCGGCCUAUCAGUUUGUUGGUGAGGUAAUGGCCCACCAAGACUAUUACAGGUACGGGCUCUGAGAGGAGUGGCCCGGAGAUGGGUACUGAGACACGGACCCAGGCCCUAUGGGGCGCAGCAGGCGAGAAAACUUUGCAAUGUGCGAAAGCACGACAAGGUUAAUCCGAGUGGUUUCUGCUAAAGGAACCUUUUGUUAGUCCUAGAAACACUAACGAAUAAGGGGUGGGCAAGUUCUGGUGUCAGCCGCCGCGGUAAAACCAGCACCUCAAGUGGUCAGGAUGAUUAUUGGGCCUAAAGCAUCCGUAGCCUGCUCUGUAAGUUUUCGGUUAAAUCUGUAUGCUCAACAUACAGGCCGCCGGGAAUACUGCAGAGCUAGGGAGUGGGAGAGGUAGACGGUACUCGGGAGGAAGUGGUAAAAUGCUUUGAUCUCUCGAUGACCACCUGUGGCGAAGGCGGUCUACCAGAACACGUCCGACGGUGAGGGAUGAAAGCUGGGGGAGCAAACCGGAUUAGAUACCCGGGUAGUCCCAGCCGUAAACUAUGCAAACUCAGUGAUGCAUUGGCUUGUGGCCAAUGCAGUGUUGCAGGGAAGCCGUUAAGUUUGCCGCCUGGGAAGUACGUACGCAAGUAUGAAACUUAAAGGAAUUGGCGGGGGAGCACCACAAGGGGUGAAGCCUGCGGUUCAAUUGGAGUCAACGCCGGAA
RNAcentral lists this ribosomal RNA (915 nucleotides) under uncultured crenarchaeote. Its description in RNAcentral is "bacterial SSU rRNA". It matches the Rfam family "Archaeal small subunit ribosomal RNA", at positions 1 to 923 of the family's 1478-position model. Lineage: Archaea; Thermoproteati; Thermoproteota. The record is from RNAcentral.